RNAcentral lists this ribosomal RNA (497 nucleotides) under uncultured bacterium. RNAcentral describes it as "partial 16S ribosomal RNA". It matches the Rfam family "Bacterial small subunit ribosomal RNA", at positions 28 to 507 of the family's 1533-position model. The record is from RNAcentral.
GAUGAACGCUGGCGGCGUGCCUAAUACAUGCAAGUCGAGCGAACAGAUAAGGAGCUUGCUCCUUUGACGUUAGCGGCGGACGGGUGAGUAACACGUGGGUAACCUACCUAUAAGACUGGAAUAACUCCGGGAAACCGGGGCUAAUGCCGGAUAACAUUUAGAACCGCAUGGUUCUAAAGUGAAAGAUGGCUUUGCUAUCACUUAUAGAUGGACCCGCGCCUUAUUAGCUAGUUGGUAAGGUAACGGCUUACCAAGGCAACGAUACGUAGCCGACCUGAGAGGGUGAUCGGCCACAUUGGAACUGAGACACGGUCCAGACUCCUACGGGAGGCAGCAGUAGGGAAUCUUCCGCAAUGGGCGAAAGCCUGACGGAGCAACGCCGCGUGAGUGAUGAAGGUCUUCGGAUCGUAAAACUCUGUUAUUAGGGAAGAACAAAUGUGUAAGUAACUGUGCACGUCUUGACGGUACCUAAUCAGAAAGCCACGGCUAACUACGUG